RNAcentral lists this ribosomal RNA (447 nucleotides) under uncultured bacterium. RNAcentral's name for it is "bacterial SSU rRNA". It matches the Rfam family "Bacterial small subunit ribosomal RNA", at positions 355 to 825 of the family's 1533-position model. The record is from RNAcentral.
UGGGGAAUAUUGGACAAUGGGCGAAAGCCUGAUCCAGCAAUGCCGCGUGAGUGAUGAAGGCCUUAGGGUCGUAAAGCUCUUUUACCCGGGAUGAUAAUGACAGUACCGGGAGAAUAAGCUCCGGCUAACUCCGUGCCAGCAGCCGCGGUAAUACGGAGGGAGCUAGCGUUGUUCGGAAUUACUGGGCGUAAAGCGUACGUAGGCGGUUAUUCAAGUCAGAGGUGAAAGCCCGGGGCUCAACCCCGGAACUGCCUUUGAGACUAGAUAGCUAGAAUCUUGGAGAGGUCAGUGGAAUUCCGAGUGUAGAGGUGAAAUUCGUAGAUAUUCGGAAGAACACCAGUGGCGAAGGCGACUGACUGGACAAGUAUUGACGCUGAGGUACGAAAGCGUGGGGAGCAAACAGGAUUAGAUACCCCCGUAGUCCCUGAGCGGGCUGGCAAGGCGCAU